RNAcentral lists this ribosomal RNA (305 nucleotides) under uncultured bacterium. RNAcentral describes it as "partial 16S ribosomal RNA". It matches the Rfam family "Bacterial small subunit ribosomal RNA", at positions 505 to 809 of the family's 1533-position model. The record is from RNAcentral.
ACAGCAGUCGCCACGGUAAUACAGAGGGUGCAAGCGUUAAUCGGAAUUACUGGGCGUAAAGCGCGCGUAGGUGGUUUGUUAAGUUGGAUGUGAAAUCCCCGGGCUCAACCUGGGAACUGCAUCCAAAACUGGCAAGCUAGAGUAUGGCAGAGGGUGGUGGAAUUUCCUGUGUAGCGGUGAAAUGCGUAGAUAUAGGAAGGAACACCAGUGGCGAAGGCGACCACCUGGACUGAUACUGACACUGAGGUGCGAAAGCGUGGGGAGCAAACAGGAUUAGAUACCCGCGUAGUCCCUGUCUCUUAUAA